Molecule: long non-coding RNA, 1030 nt
Organism: Pipra filicauda (Wire-tailed manakin)
Lineage: Eukaryota; Metazoa; Chordata; Aves; Passeriformes; Pipridae
Exons: 3
Source: RefSeq, a predicted model, not a curated record
GGGUCAAAACAGAUUUUACUUGUUGAUCUUUCACUUCCUGAUGCAUCUUUUUGACCAAGCAGCUGGUGUAUAAGAUCUAGCUGGCAGCACACAGAACACAUUAGGAAAACAAAGAGAAUGUGUGAUUAAACUGAGAAGAGACAAGAAUCGCAUUUCCUCACUGUUCUGCAUGAAGACAGAAGGUGCUCCGAGAGGAUACAAACUCAGUUUUCAUAUUGGAACUAUGGCCUCUUCCCCCCAUCAGAUUAUUCAAAGAUUACAAGACCAGGAAGGUUUGGAUGCUGUGAAUGGGUAUGAAGAGAGAAAGUGGGCCCCUCCCUUUCACAAUGGAGCUACAUCCUGGGAACAGCCGUGUCACCAGUUCUGGAUCUACUGAGUUUUGAUGCAAAAGUUGGACUUGAAAAGGCUGAGAUGAUGACAGUUCUGACACCAGGUUUGGAUGCAUCUUCAGCAAGGAUGCAGCUCUGAGAGGCUACCAGGCACCAGACUGAGCCCUGACAGGACCAGCCUUCGCCUUGCUGAAGACUUGGGAAUGAGAUCAGGCAGCGCUGUCGGCGGAGGGGCUCGGGACAAACUGCAAAUGACCAAUGUGAUCUGCAAAAUGUCCGCUUUAUCUACAAAAAGAUACCCUUUAUAUACUUUUACUACACCCCAGCGCAUGAUUUCUCUUCUAUUAUUGGUUACGUGAAAGUGUUCACAAUGUAAACAUGCCCUUUUGACCACUUCUAAUUGGAUUAUUGGAGGUGUCCACACAAGGUGAGGACAUAUGUUUAACUCUUGGGACUCCACCUCAAUUUUGGCACAGAUCCUUCUUUGUUUCAGCUUUAGAGCUUGAAGCCAUGAUGAUUGCGCAGCUUUUUUUACUGUCUGUGCCUGGCCUUGUCAAGGCAAGGCCCACAAAAAAUGCAGAGGAAAUUUCUCACACAAUCCUGCUCUCCCGACACAGUACCUUGCACUUAUAGGGGUCUCUAUCAAUGCAGGAAACUUCUCUAUCUAUUAUGCUCUACAAAUAAAUAUUGCUUAUUACAAA